This 253-nucleotide ribosomal RNA is filed under the name uncultured bacterium. RNAcentral describes it as "partial 16S ribosomal RNA". It matches the Rfam family "Bacterial small subunit ribosomal RNA", at positions 524 to 776 of the family's 1533-position model. The record is from RNAcentral.
UACGGGGGGGGUAAGCGUUGUUCGGAAUUACUGGGCGUAAAGGGCUCGUAGGCGGCCAACUAAGUCAUACGUGAAAUCCCUCAGCUUAACUGGGGAACUGCGUGUGAUACUGGAUGGCUUGGAUUUGGGAGAGGGAUGCGGAAUUCCAGGUGUAGCGGUGAAAUGCGUAGAUAUCUGGAGGAACACCGGUGGCGAAGGCGACGUCCUGGACCGGCAUUGACGCUGAGGCGCGAAAGCCAGGGGAGCAAACGGG